RNAcentral lists this ribosomal RNA (253 nucleotides) under uncultured bacterium. RNAcentral describes it as "partial 16S ribosomal RNA". It matches the Rfam family "Bacterial small subunit ribosomal RNA", at positions 524 to 776 of the family's 1533-position model. The record is from RNAcentral.
UACGUAGGGUGCAAGCGUUAAUCGGAAUUACUGGGCGUAAAGCGUGCGCAGGCGGUGAUGUAAGACAGUUGUGAAAUCCCCGGGCUUAACCUGGGAACUGCAUCUGUGACUGCAUUGCUGGAGUGCGGCAGAGGGGGAUGGAAUUCCGCGUGUAGCAGUGAAAUGCGUAGAUAUGCGGAGGAACACCGAUGGCGAAGGCAAUCCCCUGGGCCUGCACUGACGCUCAUGCACGAAAGCGUGGGGAGCAAACAGG